GGAGAAGCUCAGCAAUGCAAUGUAAAAACUAACCAGUACGCGCAAAGACUUAGCGAGGAGCGUGCCCUGAGCGUAGGACUUCGCAGCCAGACUCUAGGAUCCCUGGUACUUCUUGUGGAUGGACGAAAGCAGAUGUCCCUAGGUAAAAUGUAAAGAAUCAGGUAGGUACCAUCUCUACACAGCUGGAUUAAGCGACGGACCACAUUACUACACCUUCUUUUCCUCCUUCUACUGUUGAAUUUAAACCUGCACACUGAGCUUCAACCGUAAUGACGACAUUACCAGGAUGGAGAGCAAUAUAUGGAGAUCUUGAGUGUCAACCUUGUUUACAACAGCUCAACACACCUGGACCAUUUACCGUGAAGAGGAAGAAGAAAGACAAAAAUGUCACCUGUCUUCUCUCACACGUGAAAUCUAUCAUCUGUCUCUCUGUCUGUCUUGUCUGUCUUUCUGUCCGUUGUGAGGUGACAUCAGAAGGGGGACUAUUUGGGAAGGAAGGAGACAAUUGAAAGAGGGGAGAGGAUGAAGUGUUGGAGGAUGCAGCAAGAGGGAUGCAAAAACAAUAAAAUGAUAUCUGUGGAAAAAUGCCAUAUUGAAACUCACUGCUUUGCAGGUAAUUAAAAAUAACAAAAAUAAAAUUAGAUGCUUUGAGAAAGAAAGAAA
This is a non-coding RNA of Rattus norvegicus (Norway rat), 663 nucleotides long. The record is from RefSeq and is a predicted model, not a curated record. NCBI's taxonomy places the organism in Eukaryota, Metazoa, Chordata, Mammalia, Rodentia, Muridae.